UAGGGAAUCUUCCGCAAUGGGCGAAAGCUUGACGGAGCAACGCCGCGUGAGUGAUGAAGGUCUUCGGAUCGUAAAACUCUGUUAUUAGGGAAGAACAAAUGUGUAAGUAACUAUGCACGUCUUGACGGUACCUAAUCAGAAAGCCACGGCUAACUACGUGCCAGCAGCCGCGGUAAUAGGUAGGUGGCAAGCGUUAUCCGGAAUUAUUGGGCGUAAAGCGCGCGUAGGCGGUUUUUUAAGUCUGAUGUGAAAGCCCACGGCUCAACCGUGGAGGGUCAUUGGAAACUGGAAAACUUGAGUGCAGAAGAGGAAAGUGGAAUUCCAUGUGUAGCGGUGAAAUGCGCAGAGAUAUGGAGGAACACCAGUGGCGAAGGCGACUUUCUGGUCUGUAACUGACGCUGAUGUGCGAAAGCGUGGGGAUCAAACAGG
This 429-nucleotide ribosomal RNA is filed under the name Actinomycetes bacterium. RNAcentral's name for it is "Actinobacteria bacterium partial 16S ribosomal RNA". It matches the Rfam family "Bacterial small subunit ribosomal RNA", at positions 355 to 776 of the family's 1533-position model. The record is from RNAcentral. Lineage: Bacteria; Bacillati; Actinomycetota; Actinomycetes.